CAACAGAUUGAAACUGAUGAAGAGCUAGAAGGAGUUAACUGAUGAGUAGACAUUACAACAUUUCUUAUAUUUGCAAGAUGAAGCUGAAAGUCCCAUGCAGGAUGAUGCUUCUCUACAGUGGAUGAUGAAGGCAUGCAGAUUACAAACCCAGGAGAGGAACAAAGAACAGAUAUUGACAGAAUCACUAUAUCUAGAGAUGCGCGUGGGCCUACUACACUUCAUACAAGCAAGUGUGCUAAUAUACAAUACUUGGGUUAUCAUUACAGCCCUUUCUUCUGAAAACUAGGCUACAACUUUAUUGAUGAAUGCAGGAGACACCUACAUGGGACUACGUCUUGAAGAUGCCACCCUCAUAUAAUGAAAGAGGACAGUAGAGAUGGGUUUAAACUUGAAUAUUUACAUGAUAUUUAUUUAUUAUUUGUAUUAUAUGUUUGUAGAAUACCACAAUCAAUCAAGCUAAUGAAUUUAUCAUCAUGUCAACUUUCAAAUGAUUAAAGAUAACUAAUCAUCAAUGAAUAAACAUUAACAUUUUAACAACGUCAACUACCAUC
Molecule: long non-coding RNA, 551 nt
Filed under: Strongylocentrotus purpuratus (purple sea urchin)
Lineage: Eukaryota; Metazoa; Echinodermata; Echinoidea; Camarodonta; Strongylocentrotidae
Description: uncharacterized LOC115924788
Source: RNAcentral